AGAUCACGAAAAAGACUUGAACAUUCCAAAGAAUACCACUUUUUUACAUUUCAAUAUCUCCUACCUUUACUUUCUCUUUUGUUUGACUUUGUUGGAGGAACGAGCGUAGAUUCUUGAUCGAAGACAACUCAGUUCACUGCCCCUCAAACGGUAAUCUCAACUUUAUUUUCCUUUUUUAGUUUAUCUAUCAUCUGAGUGUGUAAAUUUGUUUGAAAUCAUAUUUUGGAGAUUAUUGAAGUGUAUGAGUUAUGUCAUGAAGAUUAUGUUUUCAUUAUGCUUUCCUCUGAACUCUUAUAUGCCAUGUUUAUUUUUCUGCAUUUUCAUAAAAUUCCAAACUUGUAAACUAGAAGUCCUAUUUUAAAUAGUUUGGUAUUAACUCUUCGGGUCAAUUAUUUGACAACAUGUGAAUUUAUUCAAAAUCAUAUCAUGUCUUACAUCACUUUAAAUGAUUAAAAUCAGAUUUUGAAAGUUAAAAAUAUACUCUGUCUAUAAAUGUUUAGUAGAGUAAUUUAGAAUAUGAUUAUUGUUGUCUUUUGUCUUAAUUAACAUUGUGAAAGCAAGAAGCAACAUCUGUUAUGCAUUUACAUUAGAAUAAAAAUAUGAUUACACUAACACUAAUAUGCAAAUUUGUACGUUUUGGAUAUUUCAUGAAAUGAUACUAUUUUAAAAUUUUCGCUAAACUUGUAUUGAUAUAUCUUAUUGUUUUAAGUUCAGUACACCGCCUUUUUAAAUAUGUUUGAUAGUGACAAUUUCUCUAAAUUUGAAUUUUUCGUUUGUUUUUUAUUUGCCAUCUUAUGAGUUAUAUUCUAAUGUAUUUAUUUUGCAUCUUCAUAUUAAAAUCUGCUUUCUUUUACUAAUUGUCAUCUCCUUUCCUUUGUUUGGCAUGUACACCGGAGUCGAAGAGUCUUACUUUACGACUCGACAUCACUACAAGACUCAAAAGUUGCAUAUACAUUUUCAUUUGUGUUUCUCACUUCCUAGAAACUCCAUCAAGAAGAAAAACAAGAGAAAGUGACAAGCGCUCGACUUUACUCUUCUUUAGUUGCUUAUUCCUAAUUUUCUUUAUGUUAUUUGCUAUGAAUACUGGUGUGUUUGUUUUUGAUAACUUUGUUUGACAUACUUAGAAGUUAAACUGAUCUUUGAUAAAAAAUAAUUUAGAAAGCAUUUAGCUACUAAUGUGGUCAAGCUUAUAGUUGAAUAUAUUUCCUAAGUUAGUUUUGAGUCAAUCUUGGAGCAUUAAAUUUUUAAAACAAAAAAAAAGGUUUGUAAAUGGUAUGUCCAGAAGUUGUUUUUAACUCAACUUAGCAUACUAGAUCACUUUGAUGAUUUAUUUAUUUUUCUUAAAAAAUAAAUAUCUAUUCAACAACAACAAAUUGUUUUUAAAUAAAUAAAACUACUACUUUACGCUUUUUUAAACACUACUUUAUCUUUUUAUUUUAAAUUAGUCAAUUAUUUUACGCUUUAGCACUAAUUUUCACUUAGCCUAAUUAAUUAUUUAAGUUUGGCCGAUUAACCAUUUUAAAUGGAUCUUAAAGAAUGUCUAACCCCUUCCCUUUAGGUUAGUUGAACCCUUACCUAGAAUCUUAUGUUUAGUAGACCUUAAAAUGAAGUUAACUUUAGACAAUAGACUUUAAUCAUUUUAGGUAUCCUAAUUCACCGUAAUAAUUAGGUGGCGACUUCUUGACUUAGUUAAUAAUUUAGAAAUCACUAAAAUGUUGUACACUGUUUGGACCUCGAGUUAAAAUGGGGUAUAACAAAGGUGAAGCUGUUUUUUGUUCCAAGGCUUCUCUUCUUUUCCUUACAAAUUGCAAUAAUUCUUUCCUAAUAACAUUUGUAGCUCUUAUUGCCUUGUAAAAUGUUGUACCAG
This 1867-nucleotide long non-coding RNA is filed under the name Solanum tuberosum (potato). Its description in RNAcentral is "long non-coding RNA (STUB_LNC001457)". Lineage: Eukaryota; Viridiplantae; Streptophyta; Magnoliopsida; Solanales; Solanaceae. The record is from RNAcentral.